Molecule: long non-coding RNA, 3420 nt
Filed under: Sorghum bicolor (sorghum)
Lineage: Eukaryota; Viridiplantae; Streptophyta; Magnoliopsida; Poales; Poaceae
Description: long non-coding RNA (SBIC_LNC002634)
Source: RNAcentral
UCGAAGAUUGACUCCUUCUAGUUCUAAUCCUAUGUAGCUAUGCUAAUCUAGAUAUCUAAUUGAUUUGGUGGCUCUAAUCUUGAUCAGGGGUUUCUUCUCCCUUGAGAAUAAUGAAUUAGGGUUGAGAGGCUCUCUCCUCCAGGGGACAGGGGGUCUGGUUUUAUAGUCCCUUCAAGUGAAUAUGGGCCGUUGGAUCAAACCAACAUUGAUUGAACGGUUAUCCUUGAUCCUUUAGGUCGGUGGAGAUCUUUCCCGAAAGAGUGUCCUGAUUGGUGUCCAACAGGGGGCGGGCGCCCAGGGCAACUGGGCGGGCGCCCAGUGCCUGGCCCCGUUCGGCCUCCGCUUCCUUCCCGUGGCUUCUGGAGUCUUCUAGAUGUAAGAUUUGCGUGGCACGUUAAUAUCUCUAUGUAAUCCCGACGUGUGGGCAGUGGACCUUUCUUCCUUAUUUCCUGAUAACCCCCUGCAGAAAUAGACAAACACCAAAACUAAUGGAAUUCUGUCAGAUAAAACCCUAAGUCUAGAUGUUGAUUUCAUUUGGAUCCUUUUCUUUGUUUAUUUUAUUAAUUAAAUUUGAUACUUAAGGACCGUCAAUAAACUCCCCCAAGCUUACCUCUUGCUCGUCCCUGAGCAAGGAUAGAUUAGAAGUUGCUGCAAUACUUUUAAAAAUUUAUGGUACACAUGCUCUUUAAAUAAAAUGUCAUCUCUGAGUUAGAGUAAACUGUCAAGACUUAAAACUUACUUACUUUACCUUUCACCAUGGGACUUGUAACCGUCACUUCUAUCUUGAGUAGUUAAAAGAUAGAACAGUCUAGUCAAGUGUCAUGUCUCUUAUUCUUGAUCAGCUAUAGCUCUGGAGUUUUUUUUGUAGAUUUUCAAAUAGAACUCAGAGAUUCUUUGUAUGAUUCUCUCAUAUCUCUCUUUGGUGGUAUUUCUGGAUCCAUACCAAGGCAGUGAUGGUAUAUGCCUUCUCUCAAAAUAUGUAGUAUUUGUGGUAUGAGGCAUAAUGACAUUGCCUUCUCUCUCAUCCUACUCUAAUAAGGCUUUAAUAUCUAGAGCUCAUAGGUGGGAGAUAAAAUAUACAUACUUACAAGACAUUUAUUCUAUAGUCAAACCAUGGAUCCAAAGAAACAAAUCAAUAAGUCAAAUGAAGAUGUGCUUGUGUGGCGAAUGAAUGGUGUAUGGUGAUGAUGGUGAUAACAAUGGUGGAAGUCUAAUUCUACUUUUGCUCUUUGAGGGGAUACAUACCUUUCUUGCUCUUUUGAAAUUUUGUGAGGAGAAUGAGAUGCUCUUCUCUUUUUUUUCUUUUUCUUUCGUCUCAGGUGGGUAUCUUGUACCCCUAAUUCUACGGUCAGACACUUGUCCAUUUUUACCUCUCGUCUCACUUUUUCUUUUCUUUCGAGGUUCCGGGCACUUGCCCCUUUUUAUUUCCUCGUAUCUCUUUUUUUUAGAGCACUCAUCUCAUGAGAUAAUAUAGCAAGUGGUAGUAACAAGAUAACUUGAGCAUUUAUUUUAUAGGGGAAAAAUAGAAAUGUUUUUGGUUAUUCUCUCCCGGAUUAGGAGUAGAAUAUUUUUGGGUGGUUCUGGAGAUGGAAAUGGGUGGAUAUAUGUGGAUGGUACUUCCGGAGUAGAAGUAGCAUGUAUGAGUGAACGUGCAAGUGAAUCUUGAUUUAACCACAUGACAAGCUCCUAAGGGUCUACACAGCUUGACCACACUCAAUGCUCAUAAGCAGUAAAAAGUAAAUGUGUUGCUCAAAGUCUGGCAAGCAUGUAUAUAUGGCUGUGGUGGGAAUUUAGACUCUCAUCAUACAGGAACUCAUCAUGUGUUAAAGAUUUUCAAAGAUAAAAUUCUCUAGAAUUCUAGCAUCUCUAGGAACAGAUAAACAGCAACUCAACCUUCCCAUAUCAUAUCCGUUAACAACUUAGACUUCAGAUCAAGUUUUCAUCUCACAAUUUUAGGUUUAGAGCAAGCUUUCAAUUAUAACAGUUAUACCUAAACUAGUGAGAGAACUUCAAAUUUGCAAAUUAGGCAGAGCAACUGUUCCUCAUAUCCAUGCUAGAGUUUUAUUUAUUAGAAUCCAGUUUAGCAUAGCCACUUUAUUUAUUUAUUAAACACACUAAGCAAAAGAUAUAUAUAUAUAUAAGCAUAAAAUCUUUAUUUGGUUUUUUCAUAGUUAUGUAUAUUUAAUAUAAUAAAAGUAUAAAGAUAGAUAGAAAUACUUAUCGAGAUAAAUGGGUGUGCUCUCCCCCAAGCUGAAUUUUGAUGUAAUUUCUCUUCAUGUAGCUAGCAGGUGGCAGAGGUGUAUUUGAAAGUCAGCAGCAUUCUGACAGCGAUUAGAAUGUCCUCCGUCUGCUAGUCUUCUUGAUUCUUGAUUUCUGUGGAGCUCAAAUAGACAACAAAGUUUUGUGGAACUGAUUAAGUGUUAGCAUAAGUAUCUAGCCUUUAUCAUGUUGAGCCUCCUCAAUAAAUGUUACUCCCUAUUUUUAUAUUUUCAUUCUAUAAAGCAAAAAAGAAAUAUUUAUUUUAUUUUUAUGCCACCACAGUGAAUGUACUUAUGGGUUUCAUGCCACUCGUAUACUCACAUGGGGCUUACUGUUUUUUAACAUUUUUAUUUUCUUUUUAGGGUAAUAUAAAUAUAACUAAUUAAGUAAACUAUUUGAAAUAAUUGAAAGGGAAAGGAUAACUACCAAGUUUACCUCUUGGCAAGGCGUUCGGUGUUUUUAAGUCUUCCGAACGGGACUCUCCAUUUUCUCAAUUGUCCUGGGAUUCGUUGGGUGGCGUAGUCGGUACUUCCGGUGGUGCCUCCUCUUCAUGUAUAGUUAUCUUCUCUCUCCAUACCUGACUCGGUGCUUCGGUCUCCUCAGGAUAGUUCUAUUUAAACUGUAUGUCUUCUGACCUUACUACUACUCCUUUGUAGUCUACCCAUCCGUCCUUGAUGAUUUGCCUCCUCUGGUUGCGGUUGCGUUGCUUUCUGACCUACUUAGAUUCUUCAACGAUAUAGUUAGGGUCAGUAAAAUAGCGGCGUACCUUCUCUGAGGGGAAGUGCAUAUGGACUUCUCAAGUUCCAAUGUAGAUGAUUGCUUUAACGGUGCUGAGGAACGGUCUUCCAAGGAUGAUGGGUGGAUCGUAUUCGUCUUCUCCCAUGUCAGUAACCUGAAAGUCUGUGUAGACAAAAAUGAUCGUCUCUUUUGACAGGGACAUCAGUUACUAUUCCAUUAACCUCUCGAAAUGUCUGAUCUGCCAUCUGGAGCUGAAUGUAUGUUGGUUUUAAGGGCAUGGUUCCAAACAAGAGCCGAUAGGUGACUGCGGCCAUUAUGUUGACGCCCGAUCUGGUGUCGCAAGUCGUCUUGUAGAAGUUGUAUCCAUUUAUGGAGCAAUAGAUGCUUGGCACUCCUGGGUCGUCCUUCUUGAUUAGAAACGGU